RNAcentral lists this ribosomal RNA (421 nucleotides) under uncultured soil bacterium. RNAcentral's name for it is "bacterial SSU rRNA". It matches the Rfam family "Bacterial small subunit ribosomal RNA", at positions 26 to 433 of the family's 1533-position model. The record is from RNAcentral.
AGAACGAACGCUGGCGGCGUGCCUAACACAUGCAAGUCGAACGAGAAAGGGACUUCGGUCCUGAGUAAAGUGGCGCACGGGUGAGUAACACGUAGGUAACCUGCCUCUAGGAUUGGGAUAACCUGUCGAAAGACGAGCUAAUACCAAAUAAGACCACAAUUUCCUCGGAAGCAGCGGUCAAAGGUAGCCUCUACAUGUAAGCUAUCGCUUAGAGCUGGGCCUGCGUACCAUUAGCUAGUUGGUAGGGUAACGGCCUACCAAGGCUAAGAUGGUUAGCUGGUCUGAGAGGAUGAUCAGCCACACUGGGACUGAGACACGGCCCAGACUCCUACGGGAGGCAGCAGUGGGGAAUCUUGCGCAAUGGGCGAAAGCCUGACGCAGCAACGCCGCGUGCGGGAAGAAGGCCUCGGGUGUAAACCGC